UCCGCAGGUGGCCCUGUAAGUCUGUCGUUAAAACGUGGAGCUUAACUCCAUUUAAGCGAUGGAAACUACAGGGCUAGAGUGUGGUAGGGGCAGAGGGAAUUCCCGGUGUAGCGGUGAAAUGCGUAGAUAUCGGGAAGAACACCAGUGGCGAAGGCGCUCUACUGGGCCAUCACUGACACUCAUGGACGAAAGCCAGGGGAGCGGAAAG
RNAcentral lists this ribosomal RNA (208 nucleotides) under uncultured bacterium. RNAcentral's name for it is "partial 16S ribosomal RNA". It matches the Rfam family "Bacterial small subunit ribosomal RNA", at positions 568 to 775 of the family's 1533-position model. The record is from RNAcentral.